UAGAUCUCCACUGUGAAUUUUGCAGAUAAGAAUAUACAUUGAGGAAUUAAUUUACUAUAAAUUGAUACCCUAUACUUAUAUAAAUCUUGAGAGAGAUGUGAAAUUUUGCAGGAUUAGAACUCCUUUUUGUCUCUGUGCAUUUUGAACCGUGUUCUAGUUAUUUGUUGUUUUGGCAUAAGGAACUUGAAUUUAAGUCCAACACCUGAGAAAUGAAAGAGCAGUGCUUCUAUUGGAUCAAAUACAUCACUAUUACUAUUAAUACUUGUUUUUUUCUUUAAGUUUAUGUUAAGAAUUCUUGUGCUGUUUCUGGAAGUAGGGUUCAUCAUUUAUAAGGAACUUGAAUUUAAGUCCAAUACUUGAGAAAUGAAAGAGCAGUGCCUCUAUUGGAUCAAAUACAUCACUAUUACUAUUAGUACUUGCUUUUAAGUUUCUGUUGAGAAUUCUUGUGCUGUUUCUGGAAGCUAUGUUACGCAGACUCUUCACCCGUGUCGGAUCCUUCAAAAUUACAUUUACUUUUAAAGGAUUCGACAUAUACCCGACAAUAUUUCUGGAAAGUCCGAGCAACAUAGUCUGGAAGCAAAGUUCAUCAUUGCAUUUGAAUUUCAUGAUGCUUCUUUUGGUGUAGCCUCUAUUAGGUUUAGUUGACCAAUUCUUCUCCCUAGACUUCUUCCUAUCCUAUACUAUACUAUAUUAUCUUGUGAAAGAGAUUCCUUUGAUUUGAAGAAAUAUGCGGAAAACCUUUUUCCCUUUAAGACAUUAGAACAGGAAUGCCUUCUAAGAUUAGGCAAGACCAAAGUCACCAAACAAUAGCUUUUG
Molecule: long non-coding RNA, 816 nt
Filed under: Nicotiana benthamiana
Lineage: Eukaryota; Viridiplantae; Streptophyta; Magnoliopsida; Solanales; Solanaceae
Description: long non-coding RNA (NBEN_LNC023107)
Source: RNAcentral